AUUGAACGCUGGCGGCAUGCCUUACACAUGCAAGUCGAACGGUAACAGGUCUUCGGAUGCUGACGAGUGGCGAACGGGUGAGUAAUACAUCGGAACGUGCCCGAUCGUGGGGGAUAACGAGGCGAAAGCUUUGCUAAUACCGCAUACGAUCUACGGAUGAAAGCGGGGGAUCUUCGGACCUCGCGCGGACGGAGCGGCCGAUGGCAGAUUAGGUAGUUGGUGGGAUAAAAGCUUACCAAGCCGACGAUCUGUAGCUGGUCUGAGAGGAUGAUCAGCCACACUGGGACUGAGACACGGCCCAGACUCCUACGGGAGGCAGCAGUGGGGAAUUUUGGACAAUGGGCGAAAGCCUGAUCCAGCCAUGCCGCGUGCAGGAUGAAGGCCUUUGGGUUGUAAACUGCUUUUGUACGGAACGAAAAGCCUCUUUCUAAUAAAGAGGGGUCAUGACGGUACCGGAAGAAUAAGCACCGGCUAACUACGUA
RNAcentral lists this ribosomal RNA (482 nucleotides) under uncultured bacterium. Its description in RNAcentral is "partial 16S ribosomal RNA". It matches the Rfam family "Bacterial small subunit ribosomal RNA", at positions 30 to 507 of the family's 1533-position model. The record is from RNAcentral.